GUCGCCGUCGCCGUCCGUCAAGAGAUCUGAGAGCGCUGGGCAUUGGCCUAAACCCUCGAAAAGCGCAUCAAUCUCCUCCGCGCUCAGAAUGCGAGAUUCGCCGCCACCGACCCCGACUUGCGAUGCUUCCUCCUCCAAAGAUUUCAAUUUAUCGCGCGCGCAGUCACGGACGGCUUCGUACUUCAAGAUCAGGGACUCGAGGUCCUCC
RNAcentral lists this long non-coding RNA (208 nucleotides) under Eucalyptus grandis. RNAcentral describes it as "long non-coding RNA (EGRA_LNC000699)". Lineage: Eukaryota; Viridiplantae; Streptophyta; Magnoliopsida; Myrtales; Myrtaceae. The record is from RNAcentral.